Paramuricea clavata is the source of this 233-nucleotide non-coding RNA. NCBI's taxonomy places the organism in Eukaryota, Metazoa, Cnidaria, Anthozoa, Malacalcyonacea, Plexauridae. The record is from the annotation of a GenBank genome assembly.
AUCGUUUUGCAAUAUGUUUUCAGUGAUAUAUUUAUCACACAUGCAUGCAGUGUAGACAUCUUGGCGAUGGAAAAGCAUAAACAAAAACACGCGACACAGUUUUAAGAUUCCUAAUUUUGAUUUCUUGCCAUAUAGUGCAUACUUUAUACCUGUAUGGGUAUACAAGUCUAUCUAUGACUAUGUAAUCUCAAUGCCAGUCAGUCUGCCCGUACUGAAUAAUGGUUAUAGAUGGA